GUCUUCCGCCUCAGCUGUGGAGCCUCGCCGACCGUUAGUCCUCACAGCCACCUCAGGGGCAACCGACGCAGCGCCACCUCAUCGUGUCCGCCAUCUUGGGGCGACGGGCAGAAGUCGAGGGCUAGGAGCCUCCGCCGGCGCACGCUGGGGAACAGGUCUAGGUUAAUAGCAGGUAAUUGUGACAAGUCCAGUGUGGGUUACUGGUCAUGAAGAAUCCAUUGUUGAUGACAUCCCAGAAGAGAACACUAAGUCUUAUCUUUCAUCUUACCCCUGAACUUCCCUUCCUCUGAAGCACUCAUUAGGUGAAUAAACAAUAUUCCCUAUACCUAUAGAGUGGAAUACUACCCAGCAUCCUCUCACAUACAAAGAAAGAACAAAUUGCUGAUAGACACAGAUGUCCAUCAAUCUCAAAAGUCGUCAUGAAACCUCUGGAAGAAUUGAGCUGGUCGACUAUGCAAACACUUGUCAAGAGCCUAUAAAAUACGCAGCAUAAAAUUUUUCCUUUGUAGUCAAACCUGAUUAUUCCUCUUAAAUACUGGGAACAGAAUUUCACAGUUGUCAGAGAAUAUACCUUUUGUAUUUUCGUAUUAAAUAUUCUAUUAUUUACAAUUGUAGUUUAACACCUUUUUUAGCUAAAAUUCUCAUUUUUCUCAUUCUGUUAAAAAUUUCCAAUUCCAACACGAAGAUAAU
RNAcentral lists this long non-coding RNA (690 nucleotides) under Pongo abelii (Sumatran orangutan). RNAcentral describes it as "lincRNA". Lineage: Eukaryota; Metazoa; Chordata; Mammalia; Primates; Hominidae. The record is from RNAcentral.